AAGUGCUGAGUGGGGCCCAAAAAAGAGAAGUGUCCUGAUGCAAGUUCAUUGGCUGAGAAUUAUGUUAGAUGAAGGUCAUACCCUUGGUUCAAGUUUAACUUUGACCAACAAACUGCAAAUGGCUGUUUCUUUGCGUGCUACCAAUCGCUGGUUAUUAACUGGAACACCAACUCCAAACACCCCCAGUAGCCAGCUUUCUCAUCUGCAACCCUUGCUUAAGUUUCUCCAUGAUGAAACUUAUGGACAGAAUCAGAAAGCCUGGGAAGCUGGUAUUCUCAAGCCAUUCGAAGCAGAGAUGGAAGAGGGUCGGUCACGUUUGCUACAGUUACUUCACAGGUGCAUGAUCAGUGCCAGGAAAAAAGAUUUGCAGAAUAUUCCUCCUUGCAUCAAGAAAGUAACACUCUUAAAUUUUACUGAAGAACAUGCAAGAACUUAUAAUGAAUUGGUAGAAACCGUGCGGAGAAACAUACUAAUGGCAGACUGGAAUGAUCCUUCUCAUGUU
Molecule: unclassified non-coding RNA, 502 nt
Filed under: Hevea brasiliensis (rubber tree)
Lineage: Eukaryota; Viridiplantae; Streptophyta; Magnoliopsida; Malpighiales; Euphorbiaceae
Source: RNAcentral